CUUAGAUACUGCUCUGCACGA
RNAcentral lists this microRNA (21 nucleotides) under Gallus gallus (chicken). RNAcentral describes it as "gga-miR-12274-3p". The record is from miRBase by way of RNAcentral. Lineage: Eukaryota; Metazoa; Chordata; Aves; Galliformes; Phasianidae.